This is a long non-coding RNA of Brassica rapa (field mustard), 4105 nucleotides long. RefSeq lists it as uncharacterized. The record is from RefSeq and is a predicted model, not a curated record. Lineage: Eukaryota; Viridiplantae; Streptophyta; Magnoliopsida; Brassicales; Brassicaceae.
CAGGUUAACGUCAGUGUUUAAAUCAGAUAAAAUAAUAAUUGUCUUUGUACUUCUUGAAGGGGUAGACCAAAGAAUUUUUUUCGUUCAUUUUGUAUAUGCGGAAAAUGUAUCUGAGAAUAGGAGAGAAUUAUGGGGUGGUAUCAAGUUUCAUCAGGAUUCACCGAUGUUCAGAAAUAAGAAGUGGAUAAUCAUAGGAAAUUUUAAUGAGAUAUUCGAUGGGGAGGAACAUUCAAGUUAUAAAGAUUCAUGAAUCACCAUUGUAGGAAUGCAUGAGUUUGAUAGUGUUAUUCAACACUGUAGACUCAUGAAUUUGGGCUAUCAAAGACCUAAAUUUACUUGGUGUAAUAAGUGUGAUGAUGCGCUUAUCUGCAAGAAAUUAGAUCGUUUUCUGGUUAAUGAGAUUUGGUUGAAUCAAAGAACUCAAGUGUAUGGUAUAUUUGAGGCUGAAAGCUGUUCAGAUCAUCUUUGAGGCUCUAGGAGAUUAGUCUAGGUUUGUUUGGACCUGAGAUUUACUCAUGAAUAUAUAUAUAUAUAUAUAUAUAUAUAUAUAUAUAUAUAUAUAUAUAUUAACAUCAAAGAAACUUUAUGCUUCUUUCAAGCAUGCUACAUUAAGUAUACAACCACAAAGAAAUAAAUCAUAAAAUCAGAGUAUAGAAUACUAAAAAAAUACCAAGUUAUAGUAUCUCAUAUCUCUGCAACACAUAUGAUAGCUGUCUUAGGUCUUCACUACAACUAAGCAUUUUUUUUUACAUAAAUGGAAACAAUAGCAUGAGUUCAGAUCUGGCAAAUUGAUGCGGCCAUCAAUUCAGCAGCUUAACCAGAGGUCAACCCAAAUCCCUACUCAACUAGCCAAGGCGCCAACCAGGAUAUAUGUGCACUAAAAAUGUCAUAUCUUACAAAUCAGGAGGGUUCAAAUCACAAGGCUAAUUUUUAUGGAUUCUACACUCAAGAAGGAGUCCAAGACAAUUGGAAAUGGGCCAAAAUAUUUACGGAGCAAGAAGUUAUGAAUUUUACAAGUCAGAGGUUUCUCAGCCCGUCCAUCUGCGAGUAUCCGACUUUAGAAGGAGAUUUAAGCUCAAGUAAGGAGCGGCCUAAAGCAAAUCCCAUCAUAGGAGUCAAGAGGAGUUUAUCCGCUUUCCAGAAAGCCCAAGAUCAGGAGAAAUGGCCAUGGAAUUAUGAAGUUAUGAUCCAAUCUCCAAAACCGAUCAAACCAGUUCUACACUUGCUUCAAUUGGAAGCUAACCGGUUCAAUCAGCUUCAAACCAGAUAUUGGCGACCAGGAGAUCAUUUAAACCAAUCAGGAGAUAUUAUAGGAGUCCAGGAGGAGUUCUACAUGUUCAUACUAUGCACCAGCAACCAUUGGAUCAGGAGGAUCCUCAUUUACUCAAACCUGCCUUAUUUGGAGCAAACCGACAUUAAUGUCCAACAGCUCUUUUCUCAUCAGACCAGGCAAGAGAUCAGAACCUAUAAAGCACCCAGGAAGAUCCCAAGGAAGCUCUCUUAUCCAUUAAAACUGUCCAGGUUCAAGAAAGAUCAGAUUCUUUACUCGGAGCCAAAAUCCCACAAAAGGCUCCAACGGCUAGUUUCCGAUUUCUUGCUUAGUUUUGAUUUGUUUCCUUUCUUUUCUUUUAUGAACGUUUAGAGUCUUGUAUCUGAGAAUUAUAUAAGCUCAUUGUCGUCCAUUGUAAAGAUCAACCCUCAAUCACCAAGUUAAUAAAAAGUUUAUUCAGUUUUUAUCAAAGAUUGUUCUUUGUAUAAAAUAUCGGUCUUUAGGAUUCAAAGAGAGAUUUUUUGUUGUUCUAUUGAUUUCGUGAGACUAGUGUGUUUGUGCAAAUCAAACAAGCUCAGUACACAGAUUGAGAGAGUCAAUCACAUCGUUUCCAUCAUCCAUCAGAUUGAGAGAUUCAAUCAAAACCUCAUCCGCAAAUCCACUUCAAUCCAUCAUCUGAUCCAGCUUGAGAGAGACAUCAGUCCAGCAAGUCUGAUCCCACCUUCAAUCCAUCUCCAUCCCCUGUUCUUGUUGAGAGAGAAACCAGUCCAGCAACUAGAAUCCAUCAGCCAUCUCUAUCCUUCUCUUAUUUUGCUUCAUUUUGCAUCAUAUAGUUCUAGAAUUUCCAUUCAAUAUAAAACCAUAAAAAGUCAUAUUUGCUUAUGUUCUUCAUUUAUCAUUUAGUUUUCUUUCAGUUCAUCAUUUUAAUCCAUUAAAACUCAUAAAAAGAUUACUUUUUUUGUUUCAGGUACAAAACCGGCCAACUCUCUCUCCAUUGCAGCCGCCUAGCCGCCCCAUUGCCAUCUGCUUGUCCUGUCCAGUCCGAGUCCUUGAACCUCAGUCUAUCCAUUUGAGUAGUCUGAAUCCCAGCCUGUAACACAAAUGACGGUCCAAAACCUCCCAUCAUCCUUGGUGCUCAGCAUCACCUCAUUUUAGUAUAGAGUUUACACCCUCUGCCCAUGUGUUCCACCGAAAUAGUUUUCGGUUUGUGUGAUGGUCUAGCUUAGAUAUUUCGUGUGCCUCACUAUAAGAGCAUCUACGACCCCACUACAAAUUACUGCAAAAUGAAGUGGAAAAUGCAAUCAUGAACAAAUAAAAAAUGAUUACUUUAUAAAUAGAGUAAUAUUUUUUUUGUUUAUUUAUGACUGCAAAAAAUGGAGUAAUGUCUCAUUAUAACACUGUUUAUUCAAUCAUUAGCUAUAAACCCAACAAUUAUUCAAAAAAUGUUCACGUAAAAUAGUUUCCAACUCUCAUUGAUCAAACCUAAAUCAAGUUGAGUAGCCCGAAACUGCCCAAAGACCACAAUUAACAUACACUUCUUUUUUUUGAUAAAACACAAUUAACAUACACUUCCUCCAUAAAAUAUAACUACACCGGCCACACCAAAAGAUAUAAUAAAUUUUUAAUAGCACUCAAUAUAUCUUUAAGCUUCACCACCCAAUAACAACAACGCGAAGAAAAAAAAAAUUAAUAGGCUACGUCACAUAUUUAAGAUUCUUAAAUUUGGCUAUUUCGAAAACUGUAGCAACAAUUUAGGAGUCUUCCUAUAUGUUAACCAAGCCAGCACCAUAGUAGGUGAACCAAACGUUUGCAGCCUAUAAUACAAAUUUUUAGGUAGUCAAAAUUUUAAAUCAUUGUUAGACAAUUAUGGUCUGAACUGGUCAACACAAUAUAAAUAAAAAGAACAAAAGGAUAUUUUAUUAUCACGGUGAGUGUAACCACGAUUAAUAAAAAAAUACAAUAAAGAAAAAAUAAGUAUAUGAAGGUAAAAUAUAACUUUACCACGAGUGAUAAUAAUACAGAAAAGUUAAAAAAAUUUAAAAAGGAGGAGCCCAAUCAUAUAUACUCAAGUUUCAGCUACAAAACACGAGUUGGAGGUGAAGAACAAAUCAACAAUAACCAGAAAACUAAUGCAAGCAUCUAUAAUAGAACAUAUAUAAGUUCGCAAAAAAGAAAAGAAAUAAGAACAUAUAUAACACAAUUCUCCAAUGAGAUAGUCUCACACACAACAAAAACCUCAUCCAGUGCAGAUGGCAACUUCAUGAAACACACAUCUAACUACCAAUUGUUAGUCCUACGUAAGAAUUGAUAAAAAUAAAUUUCACCAUCUAUAAUAGAACAUUUAUAACACAAUCUCCAACGAGACUAGACACACAAUAAACACACAAAAUAGAUACUACAUACAACAAGAAAUACAACACUCAAAAAAUAAAAAAAAUACAACACUGCUUGUAAUAGUAUUGUAGAUUAUGCUCAUCAAUUUCACAUUUUCUGUUAGAUAAUUACAGAUUGUUUCUUUUGCUAUAGAUUCCAAUUUUCCAAACCGUAGAUAUGUCCAAAAAUUCAAGAAAACUGUAAAAGAUAUAUUAGAAAUACCAAAAAUCUAUCCAAAUAUCAAAAAAUAUAGAAUCACAAGCAAAGCUAAUAAGAAGUCUUUUCUCUUGUUCAAUAUCUCCAAGCUCUCAAAGCACAAAUCACAAAUCAAUAAUAUAUUAUGCAACACAAUAUGCAUCUCCAUAUAUAUAUAUAACUAGAUAAUUCCUAGUUUCAAUAGUAUUAUCAUAAAUCAUAUUUCUUAAUCCUAAGGAUAACCACAACUCAUUAAGGAAAAAGAAA